CCCAGAUAAUGGCACUCUCAA
Molecule: microRNA, 21 nt
Filed under: Gorilla gorilla (western gorilla)
Lineage: Eukaryota; Metazoa; Chordata; Mammalia; Primates; Hominidae
Also listed under: 4 other names
Description: ggo-miR-488
Gene: ggo-miR-488
Source: miRBase by way of RNAcentral